AUGUGCGGCUCCUCCGAGCUCCUCCCUCACCCUGCUUUCUCCAACGCAGUUGCCCCCGAUGACGACCAUGGACGCGACGCCGGAGCAGAAGGGGUUCACCGGCGGGGUGGGGGCUGCUGGAUGCGGCCACCCGCAGCACAAACAAGAGUUGGCCGUCCAGAUGCUCCUGCCGCGGCCGCCUGCAUCACGGACAGGAGCUGGCCGACGAGAUGCUCCCGCCGUGGCUGCCCACAGCCGCGGCUGCAACAGCGACGAGCACGGCAGGAGGAGCCCGAUCUAGAAGACGGCCAUGGCAGGGGCCUGAUUGCUUUUUUGAAAUAUUUGCAGGGACCAAAUUGCAUUUAA
Molecule: ribosomal RNA, 345 nt
Filed under: Triticum aestivum (bread wheat)
Lineage: Eukaryota; Viridiplantae; Streptophyta; Magnoliopsida; Poales; Poaceae
Description: partial small subunit ribosomal RNA
Source: RNAcentral